GAUGAACGCUGGCGGUGUGCCUAAUACAUGCAAGUCGAGCGAACAGACGAGGAGCUUACUCUUCUGACGUUAGCGGCGGACGGGUGAGUAACACGUGGAUAACCUACCUAUAAGACUGGGAUAACUUCGGGAAACCGGAGCUAAUACCGGAUAACAUGAUGAACCGCAUGGUUCAACAGUGAAAGACGGUCUUGCUGUCACUUAUAGAUGGAUCCGCGUCGCAUUAUCUAGUUGGUAAGGUAACGGCUUACCAAGGCAACGAUGAGUAGCCGACCUGAGAGAGUAAUCGGCCACACUAGAACUGAGACACCGUCCAGACUCCUACGGGAGGCAGCAGUAGGGGAUCUUCCGCAAUGGGCGGAAGCCUGACGGAACAACGCCGCGUGAGUGAAUAAGGUCUUCGGAUCGUAAAACUCUGUUAUUAGGGAAGAACAAAUGUGUAGGUAACUAUGCACGUCUUGACGGUACCUAAUCAGAAAGCCACGGCUAACUACGUG
This 497-nucleotide ribosomal RNA is filed under the name uncultured bacterium. Its description in RNAcentral is "partial 16S ribosomal RNA". It matches the Rfam family "Bacterial small subunit ribosomal RNA", at positions 28 to 507 of the family's 1533-position model. The record is from RNAcentral.